AUUUAAACCUAUAUAGUUUAGAAAAACGUCGCCUGAGAGGGGAUAUGAUAACAUUAUACAAAUAUAUUCGGGCCAAUACAAACCAUUGUGUGGAAAUCUAUUCACAAACCGGACUUUACAUAGGACACGAGGCCAUGCGUUUAGACUGGAAGAAAGAAGAUUUCGCCUAAGGCAAAGGAAAGGUUUUUUUUACUGUAAGAACAAUCAGGAUGUGGAAUUCUCUGCCUGAGGAAGUGGUUUUAUC
Pelobates cultripes (western spadefoot toad) is the source of this 244-nucleotide non-coding RNA. The record is from the annotation of a GenBank genome assembly. Lineage: Eukaryota; Metazoa; Chordata; Amphibia; Anura; Pelobatidae.